GAUGAACGCUGGCGGCGUGCCUAAUACAUGCAAGUCGAGCGAACAGAUGAGGAGCUUGCUCCUCUGACGUUAGCGGCGGACGGGUGAGUAACACGUGGAUAACCUACCUAUAAGACUGGGAUAACUUCGGGAAACCGGAGCUAAUACCGGAUAAUAUAUUGAACCGCAUGGUUCAAUAGUGAAAGACGGUUUUGCUGUCACUUAUAGAUGGAUCCGCGCCGCAUUAGCUAGUUGGUAAGGUAACGGCUUACCAAGGCAACGAUGCGUAGCCGACCUGAGAGGGUGAUCGGCCACACGGGAACUGAGACACGGUCCAGACUCCUACGGGAGGCAGCAGUAGGGAAUCUUCCGCAAUGGGCGAAAGCUUGACGGAGCAACGCCGCGUGAGUGAUGAAGGUCUUCGGAUCGUAAAACUCUGUUAUUAGGGAAGAACAAAUGUGUAAGUAGCUAUGCACGUCUUGACGGUACCUAAUCAGAAAGCCACGGCUAACUACGUG
RNAcentral lists this ribosomal RNA (497 nucleotides) under uncultured bacterium. RNAcentral's name for it is "partial 16S ribosomal RNA". It matches the Rfam family "Bacterial small subunit ribosomal RNA", at positions 28 to 507 of the family's 1533-position model. The record is from RNAcentral.